This 21-nucleotide microRNA is filed under the name Ananas comosus (pineapple). Its description in RNAcentral is "microRNA s1552_c089b". The record is from RNAcentral. Lineage: Eukaryota; Viridiplantae; Streptophyta; Magnoliopsida; Poales; Bromeliaceae.
CGAGGGUACGAUCUUUUCGAC